CAACGUGGGGAACCUGCCCCAUAGUCUGGGAUACCACUUGGAAACAGGUGCUAAUACCGGAUAAGAAAGCAGAUCGCAUGAUCAGCUUUUAAAAGGCGGCGUAAGCUGUCGCUAUGGGAUGGCCCCGCGGUGCAUUAGCUAGUUGGUAAGGUAAAGGCUUACCAAGGCGAUGAUGCAUAGCCGAGUUGAGAGACUGAUCGGCCACAUUGGGACUGAGACACGGCCCAAACUCCUACGGGAGGCAGCAGGA
Molecule: ribosomal RNA, 250 nt
Filed under: uncultured Lactobacillus sp.
Lineage: Bacteria; Bacillati; Bacillota; Bacilli; Lactobacillales; Lactobacillaceae
Description: partial 16S ribosomal RNA
Rfam family: Bacterial small subunit ribosomal RNA
Source: RNAcentral